Molecule: non-coding RNA, 87 nt
Organism: Sphagnurus paluster
Lineage: Eukaryota; Fungi; Basidiomycota; Agaricomycetes; Agaricales; Lyophyllaceae
Source: the annotation of a GenBank genome assembly
ACACCGAUGGUGAAGUGGUUAUCAUGCUUGCCUUCCAUUCAUCCAAGUCGGUAGCAAGCGGCAGGGGUUCGAUUCCCCUUCGGUGUA